CACUAUCUGUUAAAGGAGCAGUCUGCUCUGCUAAAACUGCCGACCCCUGCUGAAGGAAGGACGCUGAAAAGUUAUCCCUGGUCCUCGGCGGAUGCACUCCUGAAGUCCAGAGUUCAGAAUAAACUGUUUAAGUCCUA
Fundulus heteroclitus (mummichog) is the source of this 137-nucleotide long non-coding RNA. RefSeq lists it as uncharacterized. The record is from RefSeq and is a predicted model, not a curated record. NCBI's taxonomy places the organism in Eukaryota, Metazoa, Chordata, Actinopteri, Cyprinodontiformes, Fundulidae. The transcript is spliced from 2 exons.